This 647-nucleotide ribosomal RNA is filed under the name uncultured bacterium. RNAcentral's name for it is "bacterial SSU rRNA". It matches the Rfam family "Bacterial small subunit ribosomal RNA", at positions 202 to 842 of the family's 1533-position model. The record is from RNAcentral.
GGCUUUGGCUAUCACUCUGGGAUGGACCUGCGGUGCAUUAGCUAGUUGGUAAGGUAACGGCUUACCAAGGCGAUGAUGCAUAGCCGAGUUGAGAGACUGAUCGGCCACAAUGGAACUGAGACACGGUCCAUACUCCUACGGGAGGCAGCAGUAGGGAAUCUUCCACAAUGGGCGCAAGCCUGAUGGAGCAACACCGCGUGAGUGAAGAAGGGUUUCGGCUCGUAAAGCUCUGUUGUUGGAGAAGAACGUGCGUGAGAGUAACUGUUCACGCAGUGACGGUAUCCAACCAGAAAGUCACGGCUAACUACGUGCCAGCAGCCGCGGUAAUACGUAGGUGGCAAGCGUUAUCCGGAUUUAUUGGGCGUAAAGCGAGCGCAGGCGGUUGCUUAGGUCUGAUGUGAAAGCCUUCGGCUUAACCGAAGAAGUGCAUCGGAAACCGGGCGACUUGAGUGCAGAAGAGGACAGUGGAACUCCAUGUGUAGCGGUGGAAUGCGUAGAUAUAUGGAAGAACACCAGUGGCGAAGGCGGCUGUCUGGUCUGCAACUGACGCUGAGGCUCGAAAGCAUGGGUAGCGAACAGGAUUAGAUACCCUGGUAGUCCAUGCCGUAAACGAUGAGUGCUAGGUGUUGGAGGGUUUCCGCCCUUCA